AUUGAACGCUGGCGGCAGGCCUAACACAUGCAAGUCGAACGGUAACAGGAAGAAGCUUGCUUCUUUGCUGACGAGUGGCGGACGGGUGAGUAAUGUCUGGGAAACUGCCUGAUGGAGGGGGAUAACUACUGGAAACGGUAGCUAAUACCGCAUAACGUCGCAAGACCAAAGAGGGGGACCUUCGGGCCUCUUGCCAUCGGAUGUGCCCAGAUGGGAUUAGCUAGUAGGUGGGGUAACGGCUCACCUAGGCGACGAUCCCUAGCUGGUCUGAGAGGAUGACCAGCCACACUGGAACUGAGACACGGUCCAGACUCCUACGGGAGGCAGCAGUGGGGAAUAUUGCACAAUGGGCGCAAGCCUGAUGCAGCCAUGCCGCGUGUAUGAAGAAGGCCUUCGGGUUGUAAAGUACUUUCAGCGGGGAGGAAGGGAGUAAAGUUAAUACCUUUGCUC
This 450-nucleotide ribosomal RNA is filed under the name Escherichia coli. RNAcentral's name for it is "bacterial SSU rRNA". It matches the Rfam family "Bacterial small subunit ribosomal RNA", at positions 30 to 474 of the family's 1533-position model. Lineage: Bacteria; Pseudomonadati; Pseudomonadota; Gammaproteobacteria; Enterobacterales; Enterobacteriaceae. The record is from RNAcentral.